This 1176-nucleotide long non-coding RNA is filed under the name Heterocephalus glaber (naked mole-rat). RNAcentral describes it as "lncRNA (ENSHGLG00100039814.1)". The record is from RNAcentral. Lineage: Eukaryota; Metazoa; Chordata; Mammalia; Rodentia; Bathyergidae.
GAAAAGUAAGGAAGCUUUGGGCUCUCAGUGGUCACAGGGGCCAAGAGAGAGAUGCAGGGCAGAAUGUGGGAGUUUAGAGAGAGCUGCUUGCGCCCAGGGCUGGCCGAGAUGGGGAGGCCCAGAAAGGGAUUGGCCUGAGCCCGCUACCUGGGCUGUGCUUGCAGAGAAAGACCUUGCUCUAGGCCUCCUGCAAACUGCCGUGGCUCAGCUCCUCCCCCGACCCCUAGACUCCAUUCCAGCAGAAACGCUCUUGGACCAACUUCAGGAAGUCCAAGAGCCACCUCAAGAGAAGCCACAGCCACCCUACAGUUUACUUUGGCAAAGCUCAAGUCCUCAAGGUGCACUCCGGCAAGGAUGAAGAGGAAAAAGCAUCCAAGCCAAAGUCAGAGAGCUGAGGAUGCCAGAGCUAGGUGACUUCUCCAGCUUCCAUCUCAGGUGGUCCCCAAAUUCCAGGAGUCCCUGGCCCGCCAACUCCUCAGAGCCCCUGAUCGCCUACCGCAGAGCCUGCUAAUAAAGCCCUGUCUUCCUUCGGAGGGGACAGUCCCACUCACCUAGCCAAAGGAGCUGUGUGCUUGGGCUUUCUCCCAGAAGAAGCAGGGCUCCCUGAAUCACCCGCUCCCAUGGAGAAAGCCCAGAUGCUGCUGCCCCCAGGAGCUGACCUAGGUCUUUUACAUUCCGGUAAACUGACGUGCAGCUUAGAAAGGGGCUCUGCCUGUCCUGGAGCCAAAAGCCACAGGGCCUGGGUAUGUUAGAGCAGAGGUUAGGGAACCCACAUUCUCCUUGAGAUGAUCAUUCUAACCAAGAUGCGUUCCUAUAUGUGCCAGGCACCGAGGCAGAGAAAGGUGGUAGCUGGUGAUGGGCACCUAAAUAAUGCAUGCAGUACUAUAUUUGAUUCUCCCAACAGGCCCCAUGAGGUAGGAUAUUAAUAUCAUUGCCCCAUUUGCUAGGUGAAUAAACUGAGCCAACACUAAGUGUCACCAAGUGUCCAAAGUCACACUUAACAAGUGUCAGAACGAAGAUUUAAACCCUAGAUGUCUGGCUAUAAACCCCUGCUCAGCCGGGGAUUUAGCUCAGUGGUUCUGCUGCCUGCCUCGCAAGUGUAAGGACCCGAGUUCAAUCCCCUGCUCACACAGCAGCCCUCCCCCAAAGCUGUGGUUACAUUUCUGGAAAGUAUAA